Molecule: long non-coding RNA, 2264 nt
Organism: Bacillus rossius redtenbacheri
Lineage: Eukaryota; Metazoa; Arthropoda; Insecta; Phasmatodea; Bacillidae
Exons: 4
Source: RefSeq, a predicted model, not a curated record
UCUGCAGUUCGCAGUCGUGCAGUCGGCAGUCGUAUAACAACCACGCCAUGUUCACAAUAGACAGCAGUUUGCAGUCGGGUAGGCUACACAUUUCGACUAGCUUUCUACCAAAGAAAUACCAAGUUGUAUGCAUACAAAUAUACACAUAUUUCACAAUUGUAAAUCAUUAGCCGAGGUAUCAUGGAUGACGACGAUAUUUUGCUCUUCGCAACAUGGGCUGUGUUACUUGGUACAGCAUAUUUGAGUCUAGCUGGCCGAGGGGCAAGAGGAUACUGGGUUCAUUCUGACAACAGAAAUACUGUAUAUUCUCAGGGUGAAUAUUUCACUUUGUUUCAAACGAUGAAAACCAGUAGCCACGACCGGUUUCAGAAGUACACUAGGAUGGAAGUGUGGCAAUGGAAUACCCUCUUGGAGAUGGUGAAACCAUUCUUGAAGAAAACUUCAAUCAGAGCUGCAAUAAGUGUUGAAGAGAGAUUGGCUAUCACAAUAAGGUAUCUUGCUCAUGGAGGCACCCAGAGAUCAGUAUCUUGGACAAUCAGAAGGGGUUUCUCAACAGUGAACCACAUUAUUUCAGAAACAUAUGAUGCAAUUUGGGCAGCACUAUCAGAGGUGUAUGUGAAUGUCCCAAACUGGGAAGAAUGGGAAUGUAUCAUUACUGACUUCUGGAACACCUGGAAUUUUCCCAAUUGUUUUGGGGCUCUGGAUGGGAAGCAUAUAGACAUUAGGUGUCCUCGUAAUGCAGGAAGUCAAUACUUCAAUUAUAAGAAAAGGAAUAGUAUCAUAUUGAUGGCUAUGUGCAAUGCUCAAUAUGAAUUUACAUGGGUGGAUAUUGGAGCAUAUGGUUCACAAAAUGACUGCAGUGUUUUUUUCUAGAUCUCUUAUUGGGAGAGCUCUAUUACAUAAUGACCUUGACCUUCCAGUUGACAGAAAUCUUCCUGAUUGUGACUUGCUUAUGCCAGUUUGGUGUGUGGCAGACCAGGCGUUUCCUUUAUCCAGACACAUGAGGCCCUAUGCUGGUCACAACUUGCCAGAUGAAAAAAGGAUUUUUAAUUACAGAAUAAGCCGUGCACGGCGCACAAUUGAAAACACUUUUGGAAUUAUGUCUACUAGGUGGCAGAUAUUUCAGAUGCGCCUACAAGCACAGCCACAAGUGGUUGAAAAGUAUGUGCUGGCUUGCAUAUGUCUGCACAACUUUAUAAUGAGUACUAGAACAGAGGGCACUUCACAGUACUGUCCUCCAGGCUAUGUGUACAGAGAAGAGGGGAAUGGUAUAGUAACUGAAGGUGAAUGGAGACAGCAGGUGAGUAAUACACCUCUUCUGCAAGAUAUGGGAAGAGUCGGCACAAAUAACCCUGGAAGGGCUACAGCAAACUUGAGGGAUAGGCUAAGUGCCUUUUUGAAUGGGCCAAGCGGAGCGGUCCCUUGGCAAAAUACCAUAGUAAAUGAAGGGUGGCAGUGUAAGUUCCUGCAAUAUAUCAAAGUAAAAUAUUACUGUUUGUACUCUAAUUAUUACCUGUAAUUAUGUUAAAUAUUUUGGUUAAUUUUCCUGGAAAAGUAAAAAGACAUCACAUAGUAAAAUGGAAGAUCAAAUGAUAAGCAAGUUAAAAACCAAUAAAAUUGGAAUAAGUGGGAAUCCGUUUCAAUUCUAUUAACCUGCAAAAACUGUAAAUACAAAUGUUUUUUGUUCACAUUGUUUCUUAUAAACUUGUCAUUGGAUUGUUUGAUUACUAUUCGAUUGAAAUUGUAUGAGUUGCUGGUCUUUGCCACACACAUUCUUCAGUAAGAGUAGCUAAUGUAAAUUUUGUUUAGUUUCUUAAAGACUGUUGUUCCUCUGUAUAAUUUGGGGAUGACAUUGUUAUAAUAUUAUAUGACGUAUUAGAAAUAAUUGUUACAUUAAAGCAUAUUGAAAUAUUUUCUACCUUUCAUUAAUUGUCUUGAACGAGAAGAGAUUCUAAUACUUGUGUGAUUGCAUUUCUAAUCAUUGUGGAACAUUGUAUGUUAUAUUUUUGGUAGUGUAGGCCUACAUCUCAAAAUCCUAUAAGGUAAUUUUUUUUUGACCGAUUGAAAAAAUUGUAUGGUAAAGACAUCAGCAUGGGGUGUUUUUUUUUUUUAAAUUUAAUUGUUAUGUCAAAAUGUCAUGUCAGAUGCAAUGUAUAAAAUGUACUAAGAACAUUACUACUUCCUUUAGUAGUAAAUUGCACACUGUAUAUCCAUGGCCUGAAUUUACCAAGUUUGUGCUUGUUGUUAAAAUAAAUAUGUGCUCA